GAGAACCAAGAGAUCCGUUGUUGAAAGUUUUGACUAUUAGUAAUAAUCUGGUGUGACAAGUUGAUAAAAAAUUGGUUGUAAGUUUAGACCUCUGGCGACAGGCUGGGCCCACCGCCAAAGCAAGUUUGUUUCAAAGAAAAACACAUGUGGUGCAAUUAAGCAAAUCAGUAAUGAUCCUU
Molecule: unclassified non-coding RNA, 179 nt
Filed under: uncultured Candida
Lineage: Eukaryota; Fungi; Ascomycota; Saccharomycetes; Saccharomycetales
Description: sequence contains ITS1
Source: RNAcentral